UUGCAUGAUGUUGUUUGAAUUGCUUGUCCUAACAGGUGCAUAAGUUGGGAUGGAUUGGACUUCUAUCUUGAGAAAACACCAUGAUUUCAGGGCUGCUUUCGUCGGGUUUGAUGCAGAAAUCGUCGCGAACUUCACAGAAAGACAAAUAGCAUCAGUGGCCACAGAUUGCAACCUGGAUUUAAACAAGGUUCGAGGUGCCGUCAACAAUGCUAACAUAAUCCUCCAGGUCAGAUUGUUGAUUGGACCUGAUUUUAUUUAAAUAAUCUUGAUAAUCCAUUUUA
This is a long non-coding RNA of Magnolia sinica, 281 nucleotides long. RefSeq lists it as uncharacterized. The record is from RefSeq and is a predicted model, not a curated record. NCBI's taxonomy places the organism in Eukaryota, Viridiplantae, Streptophyta, Magnoliopsida, Magnoliales, Magnoliaceae. The transcript has 2 exons.